Triticum aestivum (bread wheat) is the source of this 1612-nucleotide RNA transcript. RefSeq lists it as uncharacterized. The transcript is spliced from 7 exons. The record is from RefSeq and is a predicted model, not a curated record. NCBI's taxonomy places the organism in Eukaryota, Viridiplantae, Streptophyta, Magnoliopsida, Poales, Poaceae.
UGGACGCGUUGACGUGUGCAUAGCAGCGUUGUUAUCCUAGCCCGUAAACCUCCCACACCACACCUCCAAAGCUCGAAACUGCUCCACCGGCCAAAUGGUCCCGCUUGGGCGCCUUCCGGCGCUGCCGCUAGCGCGUGGCUCCACGCGCCGCCGCCUCCUCGCCGCCGGGGCCUUCGCCGCCUCACCGCUCCCAUGGCCGGGCCUUCACACCUGGCGCCGGGCCCCUCCCAGCGACCUCCGCUCGUGGGGCCCCAACGGGCCCUGCGCCCCGAACACUGACAAAGCGGGACCUCCAGAAGCCGCCGCCGGAGUUGGCCACGGCUCGUCCUUGGCCGAGAUGGGCGCCCUCGUGCUGUCCACCGCCGACCCCCUCGCCAAGGCGCACCUCACCCACGCCGCCUUCUCCCGGUGGGCGGCAGGCGGGCUCCCCGUGGGCCUCGCCCGGGCCCCGGACCACCCCGCCAGGCCGGAAAAGCCCCUCGCGGUGACUCAGAAGGAGGUCCCCACGCACAAGGCGAUGGGGGUGCCGCUAAACGCGUACAUGCUCCACAACCUGGCGCACGUCGAGCUCAAUGCCAUCGACCUUGCUUGGGAUACUGUGGUGCGGUUCUCGCCGCUCCGGGACACCCUGGGAGAUGGCUUCUUUGCGGACUUUGCGCGUGUGGCUGACGAUGAGAGCCGGCAUUUUCGGUGGUAUUCACAGCGGCUUGCCGAGCUUGGGUUCAGAUAUGGUGAUAUGCCUGUCCACAAUCUUUUGUGGAGGGAGUGUGCAAAAUCCGCAAGUGAUGUUUCUGCACGGAUGGCAGUUAUACCUCUAGUACAGGAAGCUAGAGGCCUUGAUGCUGGACCAAGACUAGUCCAAAAGUUAAUUGGCUUUGCGGACCAUAGAUCUGCAGACAUUGUGGCAAAAGUAGCAGAGGAAGAGCUUGCACAUGUUUCUGUAGGUUUAUAUUGGUUCCUGAAAGUAUGCGAAAUGAUGGGCCGUGUCCCUGGUGCUGCUUUUAGAGAUCUGAUAAAGGAGCAUGAUGUUGUAAUGAGGGGUCCAUUUAACUAUCAGUCUCGUGAUGAAGCUGGUAUACCUCGAGAAUGGUAUGACGAGGCGCUUAAACCUGAAGUUGCAAGCAAUCUUUCAGAGGUGAGGGACCAUUUAUUGUUUAUCCGGUGUGUUUUGAUGUAUCUAACUUGUGGUAUGUACCUCACAGGUGCAUGAUAGGCUAGCAUGUGUUGUUGAGAUGGAGAAAGAGAAUGCUAGUUUGAAUGGCUAAAAUCUCACCUGAUGAAUACUUGAGAGACUUGGCUAGCUGGAGUGGUGUUUGCCAAGUUGCCGCCCCAAGGCAACAGAUGCGGAAAGGCCUCAAAUUUGCACGGUCCGUGACCUGUACAGUAGUCAUCAAGACUCUUACCAGCUGGAGACAUAAUUUGCUGCUGGGAGGCGAGGUGUUGUUGGCCUGAACUGCAAUAGUUGAAGAACAAUGGACAACAUGGUGACCAGUUCAUGUCAGUUACAGUUCAGUGUGAAAGCCAAACGUUUCACAUUCUGUGAUGUAUCAGCGGAUAUGUGUUACAGUUGACCACGAUGCUAUUUAAAUCAAUAUAUACAGUUCUGAAAUUC